AACGAACGCUGGCGGCAUGCCUAACACAUGCAAGUCGAACGAGACCUUCGGGUCUAGUGGCGCACGGGUGCGUAACGCGUGGGAACCUGCCCUUAGGUUCGGAAUAACUCCCCGAAAGGGGUGCUAAUACCGGAUAAUGUCUUCGGACCAAAGAUUUAUCGCCUUUGGAUGGGCCCGCGUUGGAUUAGCUAGUUGGGAGGGUAAAAGCCUACCAAGGCGACGUUCCAUAGCUGGUCUGAGAGGAUGAUCAGCCACACUGGGACUGAGACACGGCCCAGACUCCGACGGGAGGCAGCAGUGGGGAAUAUUGGACAAUGGGCGAAAGCCUGAUCCAGCAAUGCCGCGUGAGUGAUGAAGGCCUUAGGGUUGUAAAGCUCUUUUACCCGGGAUGAUAAUGACAGUACCGGGAGAAUAAGCUCCGGCUAACUCCGUG
This 433-nucleotide ribosomal RNA is filed under the name uncultured bacterium. RNAcentral's name for it is "partial 16S ribosomal RNA". It matches the Rfam family "Bacterial small subunit ribosomal RNA", at positions 29 to 507 of the family's 1533-position model. The record is from RNAcentral.